AUUGAACGCUGGCGGCAGGCCUAACACAUGCCAGUCGAGCGGAUGAAGGGAGCUUGCUCCUGGAUUCAGCGGCGGACGGGUGAGUAAUGCCUAGGAAUCUGCCUGGUAGUGGGGGAUAACGUCCGGAAACGGGCGCUAAUACCGCAUACGUCCUGAGGAAGAAAGUGGGGGAUCUUCGGACCUCACGCUAUCAGAUGAGCCUAGGUCGGAUUAGCUAGUUGGUGGGGUAAAGGCCUACCAAGGCGACGAUCCGUAACUGGUCUGAGAGGAUGAUCAGUCACACUGGAACUGAGACACGGUCCAGACUCCUACGGGAGGCAGCAGUGGGGAAUCUUGGACAAUGGGCGAAAGCCUGAUCCAGCCAUGCCGCGUGUGUGAAGAAGGUCUUCGGAUUGUAAAGCACUUUAAGUUGGGAGGAAGGGCAGUAAGUUAAUACCUUGCUGUUUUGACGUUACCAACAGAAUAAGCACCGGCUAACUUCGUG
RNAcentral lists this ribosomal RNA (484 nucleotides) under uncultured bacterium. RNAcentral's name for it is "partial 16S ribosomal RNA". It matches the Rfam family "Bacterial small subunit ribosomal RNA", at positions 30 to 507 of the family's 1533-position model. The record is from RNAcentral.